GGGGAAUAUUGCACAAUGGGCGAAAGCCUGAUGCAGCAACGCCGCGUGAGUGAUGAAGGUCUUCGGAUUGUAAAGCUCUGUCUUUGGGGACGAUAAUGACGGUACCCAAGGAGGAAGCCACGGCUAACUACGUGCCAGCAGCCGCGGUAAUACGUAGGGGGCGAGCGUUGUCCGGAUUUACUGGGCGUAAAGGAUGCGUAGGCGGAUGUUUAAGUGAGAUGUGAAAUUCCCGGGCUUAACUUGGGAGCUGCAUUUCAAACUGGAUAUCUAGAGUGCAGGAGAGGAGAAUGGAAUUCCUGGUGUAGCGGUGAAAUGCGUAGAGAUUAGGAAGAACACCAGUGGCGAAGGCGAUUCUCUGGACUGUAACUGACGCUGAGGCAUGAAAGCGUGGGGAGCAAAC
This 400-nucleotide ribosomal RNA is filed under the name uncultured bacterium. RNAcentral's name for it is "bacterial SSU rRNA". It matches the Rfam family "Bacterial small subunit ribosomal RNA", at positions 356 to 773 of the family's 1533-position model. The record is from RNAcentral.